ACGGCAGCACGGAGCUUGCUCUGGUGGCGAGUGGCGAACGGGUGAGUAAUAUAUCGGAACGUACCCUAGAGUGGGGGAUAACGUAGCGAAAGUUACGCUAAUACCGCAUACGAUCUACGGAUGAAAGUGGGGGAUCGCAAGACCUCAUGCUCGUGGAGCGGCCGAUAUCUGAUUAGCUAGUUGGCGGGGUAAAAGCCCACCAAGGCAUCGAUCAGUAGCUGGUCUGAGAGGACGACCAGCCACACUGGAACUGAGACACGGUCCAGACUCCUACGGGAGGCAGCAGUGGGGAAUUUUGGACAAUGGGCGCAAGCCUGAUCCAGCAAUGCCGCGUGAGUGAAGAAGGCCUUCGGGUUGUAAAGCUCUUUUGUCAGGGAAGAAACGGUGUUCUCUAAUACAGAAUGCUAAUGACGGUACCUGAAGAAUAAGCACCGGCUAACUACGUGCCAGCAGCCGCGGUAAU
This 463-nucleotide ribosomal RNA is filed under the name uncultured bacterium. RNAcentral's name for it is "bacterial SSU rRNA". It matches the Rfam family "Bacterial small subunit ribosomal RNA", at positions 66 to 524 of the family's 1533-position model. The record is from RNAcentral.